GUCGACGGGCUCUUCGGAGCAAGUGGCGGACGGGUGAGUAACGCGUGAGAAUGUGCCUUCAGGAUGGGGAUAACAAUAGGAAACUAAUGCUAAGACCCAAUGUGCUGAAAAGUGAAAAAUGAAAAUUGCCUGAAGAGGAGCUCGCGUCUGAUUAGCUAGUUGGAGUGGUAAAAGCGCACCAAGGCGACGAUCAGUAGCUGGUCUGAGAGGAUGAGCAGCCACACUGGGACUGAGACACGGCCCAGACUCCUACGGGAGGCAGCAGUGGGGAAUUUUCCGCAAUGGGCGAAAGCCUGACGGAGCAAUACCGCGUGAGGGAGGAAGGCUCUUGGGUUGUAAACCUCAAAACUUAGGGAAGAAAAAAAUGACGGUACCUAAUAUAAGCAUCGGCUAACUCCGUGCCAGCAGCCGCGGUAAUACG
RNAcentral lists this ribosomal RNA (421 nucleotides) under uncultured bacterium. RNAcentral's name for it is "bacterial SSU rRNA". It matches the Rfam family "Bacterial small subunit ribosomal RNA", at positions 61 to 527 of the family's 1533-position model. The record is from RNAcentral.